RNAcentral lists this ribosomal RNA (296 nucleotides) under uncultured bacterium. RNAcentral describes it as "partial 16S ribosomal RNA". It matches the Rfam family "Bacterial small subunit ribosomal RNA", at positions 337 to 631 of the family's 1533-position model. The record is from RNAcentral.
GCCUACGGGGGGCAGCAGUGAGGAAUAUUGGUCAAUGGUCGGGAGACUGAACCAGCCAAGCCGCGUGAGGGAUGAAGGUACAGAGUAUCGUAAACCUCUUUUGUCAGGGAACAAAGGCGGGGACGCGUCCCCGGAUGAGGGUACCUGAAGAAAAAGCAUCGGCUAACUCCGUGCCAGCAGCCGCGGUAAUACGGAGGAUGCGAGCGUUAUCCGGAUUUAUUGGGUUUAAAGGGUGCGCAGGCGGUCUGGUAAGUCAGCGGUCAAAGCCCGGGGCUCAACCCCGGCCCUGCGUUGAA